UUAAGCGACUAAGCGUACACGGUGGAUGCCUAGGCAAUCAGAGGCGAUGAAGGACGUGCUAAUCUGCGAUAAGCGUCGGUAAGGUGAUAUGAACCGUUACAACCGACGAUUUCCGAAUGGGGAAACCCAGUGCAAUUCGUUGCACUAUCGUUUGAUGAAUACAUAGUCAAACGAAGCGAACCGGGGAACUGAAACAUCUCAGUACCCCGAGGAAAAGAAAUCAACCGAGAUUCCCCUAGUAGCGGCGAGCGAACGGGGAGCAGCCCAGAGUCUUAAUCAGCAUUAGCAUCAGGAGAACGGUCUGGAAAGUCCGGCAGUAAAGGGUGAUAGCCCCGUAUCCGAAGGUGUUAGUGUUGUGAACUCGACGAGUAGGGCGGGACACGUGUUAUCCUGUCUGAAUAUGGGGGGACCAUCCUCCAAGGCUAAAUACUCCUGAUUGACCGAUAGUGAACCAGUACCGUGAGGGAAAGGCGAAAAGAACCCCGGCGAGGGAGUGAAAUAGAACCUGAAACCGUGUACGUACAAGCAGUGGGAGCCUUGAUUUAUCAGGGUGACUGCGUACCUUUUGUAUAAUGGGUCAGCGACUUAUAUUCUGUAGCAAGGUUAACCGUAUAGGGGAGCCGUAGGGAAACCUGUCUUAACUGGGCGAAUAAGUUGCAGGGUAUAGACCCGAAACCCGGUGAUCUAGCCAUGGGCAGGUUGAAGGUUGGGUAACACUAACUGGAGGACCGAACCGACUAAUGUUGAAAAAAUUAGCGGAUGACUUGUGGCUGGGGUGAAAGGCCAAUCAAACCGGGAGAUAGCUGGUUCUCCCCGAAAGCUAUUUAGGUAGCGCCUCGUGAACUCAUCUUCGGGGUAGAGCACUGUUUCGACUAGGGGUCAUCCCGACUUACCAACUCGAUGCAAACUACGAAUACCGAAGAAUGUUAUCACGGGAGACACACGGCGGGUGCUAACGUUCGUCGUGAAGAGGGAAACAACCCAGACCGCCAGCUAAGGUCCCAAAGUCAUAGUUAAGUGGGAAACGAAGUGGGAAGGCUCAGACAGCCAGGAUGUUGGCUUAGAAGCAGCCAUCAUUUAAAGAAAGCGUAAUAGCUCACUGGUCGAGUCGGCCUGCGCGGAAGAUGUAACGGGGCUAAACUAUGCACCGAAGCUGCGGCAGCGAUAUUUAGAUAUUGUUGGGUAGGGGAGCGUUCUGUAAGCCUGUGAAGGUGUGCUGUGAGGCAUGCUGGAGGUAUCAGAAGUGCGAAUGCUGACAUAAGUAACGAUAAUGCGGGUGAAAAACCCGCACGCCGGAAGACCAAGGGUUCCUGUCCAACGUUAAUCGGGGCAGGGUGAGUCGACCCCUAAGGCGAGGCAGAAAUGCGUAGUCGAUGGGAAACGGGUUAAUAUUCCCGUACUGGUGAUAAUUGCGAUGGGGGGGGGGGGGACGGAGAAGGCUAGGCUAUCCGGGCGACGGUUGUCCCGGUUUAAGGAUGUAGGCAGGUGAAUUAGGCAAAUCCGGUUCACUAUAUGCUGAGGUCCGAUGACGAGUCACUACGGUGAUGAAGUAGCUCAUGCCCCGCUUCCAGGAAAAGCCUCUAAGCUCUAGAUUAUCAUUAAUCGUACCCCAAACCGACACAGGUGGUCAGGUAGAGAAUACUCAGGCGCUUGAGAGAACUCGGGUGAAGGAACUAGGCAAAAUGGUGCCGUAACUUCGGGAGAAGGCACGCUGGCAUUAGGUGAAGUGAUUUACUCAUGGAGCUGAAGCCAGUCGCAGAUACCAGCUGGCUGCAACUGUUUAUUAAAAAACACAGCACUGUGCAAACACGAAAGUGGACGUAUACGGUGUGACGCCUGCCCGGUGCUGGAAGGUUAAUUGAUGGGGUUAUCCGUAAGGAGAAGCUCUUGAUCGAAGCCCCAGUAAACGGCGGCCGUAACUAUAACGGUCCUAAGGUAGCGAAAUUCCUUGUCGGGUAAGUUCCGACCUGCACGAAUGGCGUAAUGAUGGCCAGGCUGUCUCCACCCGAGACUCAGUGAAAUUGAACUCGCUGUGAAGAUGCAGUGUACCCGCGGCAAGACGGAAAGACCCCGUGAACCUUUACUAUAGCUUGACACUGAACAUUGAGCCUUGAUGUGUAGGAUAGGUGGGAGGCUUUGAAGCGUGGACGCCAGUCUGCGUGGAGCCAACCUUGAAAUACCACCCUUUAAUGUUUGAUGUUCUAACGUUGCCCCAUUAUCUGGGGUGCGGACAGUGUCUGGUGGGUAGUUUGACUGGGGCGGUCUCCUCCCAAAGAGUAACGGAGGAGCACGAAGGUUGGCUAAGCAUGGUCGGACAUCAUGCGGUUAGUGCAAAGGCAUAAGCCAGCUUGACUGCGAGAGUGACGGCUCGAGCAGGUAGGUACGAAAGUAGGUCUUAGUGAUCCGGUGGUUCUGAAUGGAAGGGCCAUCGCUCAACGGAUAAAAGGUACUCCGGGGAUAACAGGCUGAUACCGCCCAAGAGUUCAUAUCGACGGCGGUGUUUGGCACCUCGAUGUCGGCUCAUCACAUCCUGGGGCUGAAGUAGGUCCCAAAGGGUACGGCUGUUCGCCGUUUAAAGUGGUACGCGAGCUGGGUUUAGAACGUCGUGAGACAGUUCGGUCCCUAUCUGCCGUGGGCGUUGGAAGAUUGAAAGGGGCUGCUCCUAGUACGAGAGGACCGGAGUGGACGCACCACUGGUGUUCGGGUUGUCAUGCCAAUGGCAUUGCCCGGUAGCUAAGUGCGGAAGAGAUAACCGCUGAAAGCAUCUAAGCGGGAAACUUGCCUUGAGAUGAGUCUUCCCUGACUCUUUAAGGGUCCUAAAGGAACGUUUAAGACUAAGACGUUGAUAGGUUGGGUGUGUAAGCGUAGCGAUACGUUGAGCUAACCAAUACUAAUGAACCGUGAGGCUUAACCUG
Molecule: ribosomal RNA, 2915 nt
Filed under: Providencia rettgeri
Lineage: Bacteria; Pseudomonadati; Pseudomonadota; Gammaproteobacteria; Enterobacterales; Morganellaceae
Description: 23S ribosomal RNA
Rfam family: Bacterial large subunit ribosomal RNA
Source: RNAcentral